RNAcentral lists this unclassified non-coding RNA (329 nucleotides) under soil metagenome. RNAcentral's name for it is "partial contains 5.8S ribosomal RNA, internal transcribed spacer 2, and large subunit ribosomal RNA". The stretch from base 1 to 120 matches the Rfam family "5.8S ribosomal RNA", at positions 35 to 154 of the family's 154-position model. The record is from RNAcentral.
GAUGAAGAACGCAGCGAAAUGCGAUACGUAAUGUGAAUUGUAGAAUUCAGUGAAUCAUCGAGUCUUUGAACGCACAUUGCGCCCCCUGGUAUUCCGGGGGGCAUGCCUGUCCGAGCGUCAUUACAACCCUCAAGCUCAGCUUGGUGUUGGGCCCCGCCGCCCCGGCGGGCCCUAAAGUCAGUGGCGGUGCCGUCCGGCUCCGAGCGUAGUAAUUCUUCUCGCUCUGGAGGUCCGGUCGUGUGCUCGCCAGCAACCCCCAAUUUUUUUCAGGUUGACCUCGGAUCAGGUAGGGAUACCCGCUGAACUUAAGCAUAUCAAUAAGCGGAGGA